RNAcentral lists this ribosomal RNA (269 nucleotides) under uncultured prokaryote. Its description in RNAcentral is "partial 16S ribosomal RNA". It matches the Rfam family "Bacterial small subunit ribosomal RNA", at positions 524 to 792 of the family's 1533-position model. The record is from RNAcentral.
UACGUAGGUGGCAAGCGUUAUCCGGAUUUACUGGGUGUAAAGGGCGUGUAGGCGGGUCUGCAAGUCAGAUGUGAAAUCUCCGGGCUUAACUCGGAAGGGUCAUCUGAAACUACGGAUCUUGAGUACUGGAGAGGAUAGUGGAAUUCCUAGUGUAGCGGUAAAAUGCGUAGAUAUUAGGAGGAACACCAGUGGCGAAGGCGGCUUUCUGGACUGUAACUGACACUGAGGCAUGAAAGCGUGGGUAGCAAACAGGAUUAGAUACCCUGGUA